This 405-nucleotide ribosomal RNA is filed under the name uncultured marine eukaryote. RNAcentral's name for it is "SSU rRNA". It matches the Rfam family "Eukaryotic small subunit ribosomal RNA", at positions 686 to 1090 of the family's 1831-position model. The record is from RNAcentral.
UGAGUACCGGUUGUGACGCUAGCCAUCCUUCGGGAGAGCGCGCGGUGCUUAACGGCGCUGCGCGCCAUCUCGAUCCUUUACUUUGAACAAAUUAGAGUGUUUAAAGCAGGCUAAUGCCUUGAAUACCUUAGCAUGGAAUAAUAAGAUAGGACUUUUGGCCUAUUUUGUUGGUCUUUAGGACAAGAGUAAUGAUUGAUAGGGACAGUUGGGGGUGCUAGUAUUGAAUGGCCAGAGGUGAAAUUCUUGGAUUCAUUCAAGACUAACUAAUGCGAAAGCAUUCACCAAGGAUGUCUUCUYUAAUCAAGAACGAAAGUUGGGGGAUCGAAGACGAUCAGAUACCGUCGUAGUCUCAACCAUAAACUAUACCGACUAGGGAUGAGUGGACGUUGUUUUUUACUGACUCCA